UGAGCCAGAAAGGACAGAGACGAGUGAAGACCCAAAGAUCUUCAACCAAGCUGGGCAAGUGUUCGACCAUUGAGCCACACCCCCGGCCCUGCCUUCCGUUUGGCUGCAACAAUAAACCAGUUGUGUCCAGGAGACCCAACUCUGGUCAAGUUGCUCUACCCACUGAGCCAUCUGGCUGCCUGUCAAGAAGACAAACUUCUGUUGUGCAGUGUUCAGGCACCCGUGAAGAUAGGAACUUGGGGGAUGAGUGAGGAGAGGGACCCUCAUCUGGCGCACAGAGUCCCUGGGACUGGCUUAGUAUGACCAGCAGCCUCAGCCACAGGGGCGUUCUCUCUCUCUCUCUCUNNNNCUGCCUGUCCAGAAAUAGUUUCCGGGAACCGAGGUGCUUCCCCGCCAGCCAGCGGGGAGAUAAAGCUACCCGUGUGUGUCGCUUGUCUUGGCUGCCUCUCAGUUGACACCUCUGACAGGCCGCUUUGAUCUCGGGUUAUCAAGGCCUAACCCCAAGCCUGGCCUGCUCUGCCAGCCCUCACUCACUGGGGAAAAGGGCAUUUCAGAAGGUCAGUUCGGGGAGGGGCAGGCUUCUCCCCGUGCUCAGCUGGCCUUGAAGCAUGGGUGCUGGAUGCAGGAAUUGUACCGUUUUACUCUGCAGCGGUGAUGGAUAGGGGACUGGGGGGGGGGGAAUGGGGGCGGGAUUCUGGCUGGGAAAUGAAGAAUUCAAAUUGUGCCUAUAGCAUAGGGGGUGUUACUUCAUGUCCUCACAGGGCCUGGGCCUUCACCACAGAUAGAGAGCCCUGGUGGCUGAUUUAUUGGCUAGCCCAGUGUAUGGCCGGCAAGUUUCUCCUCAGACUCAGUUUCCACCCCCUAUCUGGUAAAAUAUAGAGGAUUUUUAUAACUAUGGACACGUCCUCCUCUAGACAAAAUCAUAUGUAGAGAACCAUUGUACAAACUGGAUGGAAGCAGAAAGGGGGCUGUCUGGGGGUGGGUGGGCUCUGGGACUUGAUAUCUCAACUCUGUUAAUCAUUAACCAUCAUCAUCAUCAUCAUCAUCAUCAUCAUCAUCAUCAUCAUCGUCAUUGUGUUUGAGACGUGGUCUCAGCUUAGUCCAGACAGACCUCUCCAUCUGACUACUCUCCUGCCUCGGCCUCCUGAAUGUCGAAGGUCCAGCAUACACCAUCACCUUCCGGGCUCUCGUUCUGUAAGAGAUGAAGAACAACAUGUGGUAAGACACGCCCGCCAUCCGUCACUGGAUAGAAGGAGGCUAGAGGCUCGCAAGGCGAAGGUCAUCUGUGGCUGCAGACCGAAUUCUCUCAGAUGUCCUCAAAGGUCCUCCAGAGAAGGAAGAAGAUAAAGCUGAAACCAGAAGAAAGAGUUGCUAAUAGCCCAUGGAUGGACCAAUCCUUUAACCCCCAAGGCAUUCUGGGAGUGGAGAGCUGGGCAAAAUAAAGCAAAUAAUAAAAUACGGGAGGGCCCCUGGCCCCUGGCGGUGGGGGUGAUGGGAAUUGGAGUCACUCGCCUGUCAGGACCUAUAUCAACAUGUCAGCCGCUUGGACAAACAAGCGUUGCGAGGGGAAAUAUUUCAGAUAAACAGACACGAUGUUAUGACAUAUCACCCUCCCCCCCACCCUCCCCACCCCUGGAAAAGGGAAUCAGUUGGAGACCAAGGAGAAGAAGAGAGGAAGCAACUCCAUGGGGAGAUCUGUUUUCCCUGGCUUGAGGCCUCCUAGGGUCAGCUGUAAAUAAAAUAGGUUUUUG
RNAcentral lists this long non-coding RNA (1751 nucleotides) under Mus pahari (shrew mouse). Its description in RNAcentral is "lncRNA (MGP_PahariEiJ_G0003167.1)". The record is from RNAcentral. Lineage: Eukaryota; Metazoa; Chordata; Mammalia; Rodentia; Muridae.